RNAcentral lists this long non-coding RNA (1439 nucleotides) under Carassius auratus (goldfish). RNAcentral describes it as "lncRNA (ENSCARG00000010361.1)". Lineage: Eukaryota; Metazoa; Chordata; Actinopteri; Cypriniformes; Cyprinidae. The record is from RNAcentral.
GUACGAAGAACGGGCCCCCGAUCUGAAUCAAAUGUUUUGGACCCGCCUUCAAGUCGCCAAACCCGCGUGACUGUCAAAUUAGUUUAGGUGCCGCCCAGAGGAUCAGUUCCGCGGUCGGCGCCAUCAAACAGCUGAUUCCUGGAGUAACCCCAGAGUGCAGUCUGGACGAUGGGGCGGGGCGACACUUCGAGGCGGAGCGACACGUGUCGCCCCGCCCAUAUUUGUUUUCCCCGCCUUUGACAUGUUCCUCCGAGCCAGCAGGGGGCAGUUUGCGUUGAAACAAACAGAACGGUGGCAACUACAGCAGCAGAGUAAUAACGCUAUUCCGUUGAUUGCUUGAGUACACUCUGUACAUGGCUUUAGUUCAUAGGUUCGAUUUUACAGAGGAUGACAUGAUCAGGAGGUGGUGGUGUUCUGUUCUCCUGGACAGCUUUACUCCGCAAAUAGCUCAACCUCUGAGGGGAGGAACUUCACCAUUCACCAUGUCUUCAGGCAGAGUCCAGCAAAGCAGUUGUGGCCAACUGGAAGAAUUGUCCUCCUGUCUCCUGACCGGAACGAGUUCAGACGGAUGUACAGCAUCAGGGAACACUUGCAGUGCAGAGCGUUUUUCAAGUUUAACCCACCAGGGUACAGAGAAGAGGCCGGCUUGGUGAUCUUCUGGGCUUUUGUUUACACAGGAUUUUGUUCCAAGGACUGUUUUUUUUUUUUUUUUUUUUUUGCGGCAUGAAACACAUUUGUGUGUUUAGUUAAUUGAAGGGAAAUAGAGAAUGGACUGAGAUCAACUGGUUUUGAUGUAUUAAUUGAUGUCAUUUAAAGUUAAACUUUGCAAUGUAUAAUGUUUUAAUAAAAAAGCUAUGGAAAACACGUGCAUGACAACAGAUUUCAGUCAUUUACAUCAGUCUAUCAUUCUUUAAGGUUUCUCAUAUUUGAUGAUAACAUCAUUUGCUAUGCAUUGCUCAUAAUGGAUUCUUAAUUUAGUUGUGACAGGAUUGUGAGGAUUAAUGAGGUUUUCAGUAGUGCAGUUCAGAAAACAAAUAACAGAAAGUAACAAGUGUUUUUGGGCAAGUUCUUUAGAACCUGUAUAGUUCCUAUAGUUCCUAACCAUGGAUGUAUUGUAGUAAAAAUAUUUGUUGGCAUAUUAAUUACUGUGAGCUGUAAUUAUAAAAACACCAUAGUUUUACUAUAGUUACUGUAGCAGAACCAUGGUAAAUUUUCGUAGGGGCCAAGGGAAUGUUCAGAAUAUUAUGACGUUCAGAGACUGGUGACAAUUUGUUACACACACACACACACAUGUAUAUAUAUAUAUAUAUAUAUAUAUAUAUAUAUAUAUAGAUAUAUAUAUAGAUAUAUAUGUAUGUAUGUAUAUAUAAUUUGAAUAUAUAAAUCAAGGUACUCCAUGACUAUCUACAUAAUCAUACUUCGCAUAAUAUUGCCGUGUC